Molecule: transfer RNA, 67 nt
Filed under: Marmota monax (woodchuck)
Lineage: Eukaryota; Metazoa; Chordata; Mammalia; Rodentia; Sciuridae
Description: tRNA.Ala
Source: RNAcentral
GGUUAUGGCUCAGUGGUAAAGUGUUUGCCUAGCAUGUGUGAGGCACUGGAUUCGAUCCUCAGUACCA